RNAcentral lists this ribosomal RNA (253 nucleotides) under uncultured prokaryote. Its description in RNAcentral is "partial 16S ribosomal RNA". It matches the Rfam family "Bacterial small subunit ribosomal RNA", at positions 525 to 777 of the family's 1533-position model. The record is from RNAcentral.
ACAGAGGUCCCGAGCGUUGUUCGGAUUCACUGGGCGUAAAGGGUGCGUAGGUGGCAUGUUAAGUUUGAUGUGAAAGCUCAGGGCUUAACCCUGAAAUGGCAUUGAAUACUAGCGUGCUGGAGGAUUGGAGGGGGGACUGGAAUUCUUGGUGUAGCAGUGAAAUGCGUAGAUAUCAAGAGGAACACCAGUGGCGAAGGCGAGUCCCUGGACAAUACCUGACACUGAGGCACGAAAGCCGGGGGAGCAAACAGGA